GUUGAUUCUGGUCCUGGAAGAGUAGGCAGACCUUUCCAGGAGGGAUGUGCCCAGAUAUCCUCAGUUGCAAUCUCAAUCUGAUGGAAGAAAAAGAGGCCAUCAUUCAUUCACUCAGCAAACAUUUAUUGAGGACCUACUGUGUUCUCGGCACUGUAAUAGCCCUGGGAAAAAGAAGACAUUUGAGGAAAAAGACGAUCCAAGUUUCUGCCCUAACUGAGCUUACUUUUUGUAGGCAUUUAGUGGUUGGAAAGUAUGACAGACUGAAUUGUGUCAAACUUCUUAUGUUGAAGCCCUAACAUCCAAGGUGACAAUUUGGAGAUAGUGCCUUGAGGGAGGUGAUCAAUAAUAAAUGAGAUCACAAGAGUUGAACCCUAAUCUAACAGGACUAGUGUCUUUAUAAGAAGUGGAAGAGACAGCAGAGAUCUCUGUCUCUGUCCACAGGCACACAGAGGAAAGACCAUGGGAGGACACAGUGAGAAGGUGGCCAUUUAUAAGCCAGGAAGAAAGUCUGCACCAGAAUACAACCCUGCCAGCACCUUGAUCUUGGACUUCCAGCCUCCACACCUGUAACAAAACAAAUCUCUGUUGUCUCAGCCCCCCGACCUGAGGUAUUUUGUGAUGCAGCCUGAGCAGACUAAUACAGAAUGGAUCUGCGGUCACUGUGAGAAGACAGGAGAGGAGAAAGGAGAGAAAGGAAAUUGUUCACAGAAGAGGAAUACAGGAAUGAUUCUGAUCAUCACUCAGAAUUCUUGUCAUUUAUUUCACAAGUUAAGAUCGCUCCUAUUUUUGAUGGAUUCCAGUAAAGAAAAAGCUACAACUUCCCUUGAUGAUUACUUGGCUCUCUCAACCCUGUCUCGGGCCUUUCACUGCAUGGUUAUGUGUCAUGUCUAUCUGCCUCCUGGGAUUCAUAAGCUACUCCCGUGGCAAGUCUCAGCUUAGUUCAUUCGCCAGCCGCUGCUGGUCAGAGUCUGGCCUAAAUAUAGCUGCAUCCCUCUCAGGGUUCUCUCAUUUCUCCUGUGAACCAAAUGCUUUGAUUCUCAUUUCUGGUUUUAACUGGCCAACCAGGCAAUAUAUUUCCAUAUAUAAGCAAUCUCUGUGGAGUAUUUCUGAAUCCCCAAAGACAGUCUGCCCUUCCUUGGCUCAUGGAAUUAGUAAAUUUACUUAAAAAUUAUACUCCUGACAACAAAAAGAGC
RNAcentral lists this long non-coding RNA (1193 nucleotides) under Equus caballus (horse). RNAcentral describes it as "lncRNA (ENSECAG00000050923.1)". The record is from RNAcentral. Lineage: Eukaryota; Metazoa; Chordata; Mammalia; Perissodactyla; Equidae.